RNAcentral lists this long non-coding RNA (279 nucleotides) under Lathyrus oleraceus (garden pea). RNAcentral describes it as "Pisum sativum (pea) long non-coding RNA (PSAT_LNC030666)". The record is from RNAcentral. Lineage: Eukaryota; Viridiplantae; Streptophyta; Magnoliopsida; Fabales; Fabaceae.
UGAGGAUUUUAUUAAUGGUGUACAUUUGAUAACGUGAAGGAGGUUCAAGGUUGUUGUGGAUAAGAGCUUUUCAUGUUAUUUCUCACUUUCUUUUUUUCUUAUUCAUGUUGAGAGAGAGAGAGAGAGAGAGAGUGAGAGAGAGAGAGAGGGAUACCAAAUGUGAGAUCUUUGUAUUUGGAAAUGGAGUAUUAAAAUGAAGAAAAAAAAGUGGAAUGUCUUUUUUAUUUGGGUGGAGAGUUGAAAGAGGAUAUAGGGAAUUGAUGAAUGUCUACAUGAAAA